AUGCUCAAACCGUACAAAAUAUCUGAAGAUAUAUAUCUAAGAACAACAGUGGGGCAUAUUCCGAUUCCGUUUCAAAACCGGACCGUCCGAUUUCGUCCAAAAAAUCGACGGUUCGAUUCCGUCCCUAAAAAAAGAGGGCCCAAUUUGCAUCGCCCGAUACCGUCCCGACGAAAAACCGACUUGGCAACCACGUAUUCACCUGAUUUUCCGCACACUCCUUGACGACACUACAUAUCGGUGCUUCUCUGACAUAAGGGCGUAUCUCGAUUUCCAGGUGAGCCCUCAAUAGCAUAGAUUUAUAUGGGAAAUAGGGCUCACGUGAAAAUCGAGAUACGCCCUCACGUCAGAGAGGCAACGAUAUAUAUGGCGUGCGCACGCUAUAUUUGCAUUAUCAGAUGAGGUAAAUCGAAAAAUUCUGCCGGUACCUCGAAGAAAAUUACAUUUUGGAAAGUGCAUCCCUGCAUUUAGGCGGGAAAACUGGCUCCUUUAAAAAGCACAAACGCCUGUGAAAGCUUUCUUUCUCAGGCUCUCGCACGAACAUAUUUUUUAUUGUGGAAGUGUUAAAGAUAUUUUCUCGGGACUCACAAAUAACUAUUAAUUCUGCAGCAAAAUUAGACGCACCGCGCGGUGCCUCGCAAACUCUAAGUAAGAUAAGAUUACUGGAAAUUAGAAUGGACCACUAGACAAGGUACGAAUUUAAGCAUUCUGAUACAUGUUUCUUGACCAGAAGCUGAGCCAAAGCGUCAAGAUUGAGGUUGCCAGAUUUGUAUAUCGCAGAGACUGUCAUGAUGACGUUUAGCGAGCGAUGUGAGUCGCGUAGAGAAUUGAGUUUUCAUAAGCGGGUGGUUUGAAUUCACGCAUCAAAAAUCAUUGAAUAUCUUCGUAAGGAGUUAAUUUCGGUAAUUUUUACUGUGCGCAUCGUGUUUUACGUGAAAUUUUGGUGAAGAAACAUGUAUCAAAAUGCUGAAAUUCGUACCUUGUCUAGUGGUCCAUUAAAGAAUUCGACUCCGGCUCCAGAUCUCGCCUGGAAUUUGUGAAGGUCCUCUCGAAUAGAAACACC
Molecule: long non-coding RNA, 1060 nt
Filed under: Bemisia tabaci
Lineage: Eukaryota; Metazoa; Arthropoda; Insecta; Hemiptera; Aleyrodidae
Description: lncRNA ENSSSA3NGG005001
Source: RNAcentral